GAUGAACGCUGGCGGCGUGCCUAAUACAUGCAAGUCGAGCGAACAGACGAGGAGCUUUCUCCUCUGACGUUAGCGGCGGACGGGUGAGUAACACGUGGAUAACCUACCUAUAAGACUGGGAUAACUUCGGGAAACCGGAGCCAAUACCGGAUAAUAUAUUGAACCGCAUGGUUCAAUAGUGAAAGACGGUUUUGCUGUCACUUAUAGAUGGAUCCGCGCCGCAUUAGCUAGUUGGUAAGGUAACGGCUUACCAAGGCGACGAUGCGUAGCCGACCUGAGAGGAUGAUCAGCCACACUGGAACUGAGACACGGUCCAGACUCCUACGGGAGGCAGCAGUGGGGAAUAUUGCGCAAUGGGCGAAAGCCUGACGGAGCAACGCCGCGUGAGUGAUGAAGGUCUUCGGAUCGUAAAGCACUGUUAUUAGGGAGGAACAAAUGUGUAAGUAACUAUGCACGUAUUGACGGUACCUAAACAGAAAGCCCCGGCUAACUACGUG
RNAcentral lists this ribosomal RNA (497 nucleotides) under uncultured bacterium. Its description in RNAcentral is "partial 16S ribosomal RNA". It matches the Rfam family "Bacterial small subunit ribosomal RNA", at positions 28 to 507 of the family's 1533-position model. The record is from RNAcentral.